Molecule: RNA transcript, 5331 nt
Organism: Gavialis gangeticus (Gharial)
Lineage: Eukaryota; Metazoa; Chordata; Crocodylia; Gavialidae
Gene: KDM2B
Gene name: lysine demethylase 2B
Exons: 24
Source: RefSeq, a predicted model, not a curated record
GCAAAAUGGCAAAACUUUAGAGAGACCUGGAUGGCUUGUGCUUGCCCUCCUCCCCAUGGGGGCCAAAACAUGCAGGACAGGAACUGUUGACAAUUAAGUGAUGAAACUCUCCAAAAAAAUGGAGGCAGAGAAAGACUCUGGAAGAAGAUUGCGCUCUAUUGGCAGGAGGAGGUACGAUGAGAACGAGGACCUCUCGGACGUGGAGGAGAUUGUCAGCAUCAGGAGUUUUAAUUUGGAGGAGAAGUUAAGGAGUAAAAUGUAUCAUGGGGAUUUCGUGCAUGCCAUGGAAGGGAAAGAUUUCACUUUUGAGUAUGUGCAAAGAGAAGCUCUCAGGAUUCCCCUUAUUUUCAGAAGUAAAGAUGGACUUGGAAUUAAAAUGCCUGACCCGGAUUUCACUGUCAGAGAUGUGAAGUUACUAGUGGGAAGCCGUCGGAUUGUGGAUGUAAUGGAUGUGAACACACAGAGAGGGGUUGAGAUGAGCAUGUCCCAGUUCGUGAGGUAUUAUGAAACACCAGAGGCCCAGCGUGAGAAGCUUUACAACGUCAUCAGUCUGGAGUUCAGUCACACCAAGUUGGAGAACAUUGUCAAGCGCCCCAAUGUGGUGGAUUUAGUCGACUGGGUGGAUAACAUGUGGCCGCAACAUUUGAAGGAGAGACAGACAGAUGCUACCAAUGCCAUUUCGGAGAUGAAAUACCCUAAAGUGAAAAAGUAUUGUUUGAUGAGUGUGAAAGGAUGCUUCACUGAUUUUCACAUUGAUUUUGGUGGCACUUCAGUGUGGUAUCACGUUUUCAGAGGAGGGAAGAUCUUCUGGCUGAUUCCGCCUACUCUGCAGAAUCUAGAACUUUAUGAAGAAUGGGUUCUCUCAGGAAAGCAAAGUGAUAUCUUUCUGGGAGACAGGGUGGAACGAUGCCAAAGAAUUGAGUUGAAACAAGGCUAUACAUUUUUUAUUCCUUCAGGGUGGAUACAUGCAGUUUAUACUCCAGUAGAUUCUCUGGUGUUUGGUGGAAAUAUCCUGCAUAGCUUUAAUAUUCCCAUGCAGCUUCGCAUCUAUGACAUUGAGGACAGAACAAGGGUGCAUGCCAAAUUCCGUUAUCCUUUCUACUAUGAAAUGUGCUGGUAUGUUCUGGAGAGAUACGUGUCCUGUGUGACCCAGCGCUGUCACCUCAGCAAAGAGUACCAGAAAGAAUCAAUGUUAAUUGAUGCAAAAAGAAAACGCAGCAUAGACAGCUUCUCAUCAGAUUCCUGGUUAGACAUGGAUGAAGAAUCUUGUGAUGCCCACCCCCGGGAGGAGAAGGAUGACAGCUUGGAUCAGAACACCAAACCUGUGGGUGACGGCUCCUCCUCGCCCAACAGCACACACUCCGAAGGGAAGGAAGGGGCUGGGAGGAAGCAGAAAGCCACAGUAAUGCGGUACCUCAAAAGAACUUUGUCCAAUGAGUCAGAUGACAGCGUGAAGUCGACAACUCCCACGGACUAUCCCAAAACGCCCACAGGGUCACCAGCCACAGAAGUCUCCACCAAAUGGACUCACCUCACAGAGUUUGAGCUGAAGGGUUUGAAAGCCCUGGUUGAAAAGCUUGAAUCCCUCCCAGAGAACAAGAAGUGCGUUCCAGAAGGCAUUGAGGAUCCCCAGGCUCUGCUGGAGGAUAUGAAGACCAUUCUGAAGGAACAUGCAGAUGAUGAUCAGAAUCUGGCCAUUUCGGGGGUCCCUGUUGUAAGCUGGCCUAAGAAGACCACAAAGAACAGAGCAGUCGGACGGCCCAAAGGGAAGCUGGGCACUGCCUCUGCAGUGAAGCUCGCGGCGAAUCGGACGACGGCAGGAGCGCGCCGGAGGAGGACGCGAUGCCGCAAGUGCGAGGCGUGUCUGCGGACAGAGUGCGGCGAGUGUCACUUCUGCAAAGACAUGAAGAAGUUCGGGGGGCCUGGCAGGAUGAAGCAGUCCUGCAUCAUGAGGCAGUGCAUUGCACCGGUGCUGCCUCAUACUGCUGUGUGUCUGGUGUGCGGAGAAGCUGGGAAGGAGGACACGGUGGAAGAGGAGGAGAGCAAGUUUAAUCUCAUGCUAAUGGAGUGUUCUAUUUGUAAUGAAAUCAUACACCCAGGAUGCCUUAAGGUGAAGGAGUCGGACGGCGUGGUUAACGACGAGCUGCCCAACUGCUGGGAGUGCCCCAAGUGCAACCACGCGGGGAAAACUGGGAAAGCGUACAAGCAAAAGCGCGGACCAGGAUUCAAAUACGCAUCCAAUCUCCCAGGCUCACUGCUGAAGGAACAGAAGAUAAACCGAGACAACAAGGAAGUUAUGGACGCUGCAAAGCGGAAAAGUGAAUGUGAAGAGACCCCCAGGCGGAAGUCAGAGGAACAUGCCAAGAAGUCUCCUGUUGACUCCAUCUCGAGGAGAAAGUCGGAUGAGGUGCAUCUGCGAAGGAAAAGGAAAUUUGAGAAACCCCAAGAGCCUGCUAUGAGGAAACGGCUAAAACUUGGAAAAGAAGAGAAACUCUUCAGGAAAAAGACUCUUUCUUUUCAGAGGCGAUCGUGGAAGGCGACAGAUGACCGACCCACCGUGGUCAAGCCCCUGCGGCGUCUGAAACAGGAGCCUGAGGAGGACCUGCCAGAGGCACCUCCGAAAUCCAAGGAGAGUGACCAGUCGCGAUCAAGCUCCCCCACCGCAGGGCCCAGCACGGAGAGCGCCGAGCCCAGGGACAAGAAGAAGUUCAAGAUACGGCGGAAAAGGCGGCUCCCAAAUAAGGAACUGAGCAAGGAGCUCAGCAAGGAGCUCAACCAGGAGAUCCAAAAAACCGAGAACAGCCUUGCCAACGAGAACCAUCAGCCCAUCAAGUCGGAACCGGAGAGCGAGAAUGAGGAGCCCAAGCGGGCACUGAACAACAGCGACAGACACCACAAGUGCAGCAAAGGGCUGAACGGGACUCCUAAGGAGCUGCGGCACCAGCUCAUGCCCAGCCUGCGGAGCAACCUGCGGGGCAUUGCCCGCCCGCCCCCUUCACUCUCUCCUCCCAAGUGCAUCCAGAUGGAACGCCAUGUCAUCCGCCCGCCCCCCAUCAGCCCCCCUCCGGACUCGCUGCCCUUGGACGAUGGGGCAGCCCACGUGAUGCAGAGGGAAGUCUGGAUGGCUGUCUUUAGCUACCUCAGUCAUAGAGACUUGUGCAUCUGUAUGAGAGUGUGCAAGACGUGGAACAGAUGGUGCUGCGAUAAACGACUAUGGACCAAAAUAGAUCUGAACCAUUGUAAAUCCAUAACUCCGCUCAUGCUCAGUGGUAUCAUCAGGAGACAGCCUGUAACCCUUGACCUUAGCUGGACAAACAUAUCCAAAAAGCAGCUGAGCUGGCUCAUCAAUAGGCUCCCAGGUCUGCGAGACCUGCUCUUAUCAGGGUGCUCAUGGAUAGCAGUGUCAGCACUUUGUAGUUCCAGUUGCCCUUUGCUCCGAACCCUGGACGUCCAGUGGGCAGAAGGAUUAAAAGACGCACAAAUGAGAGACCUCUUGUCACCGCCAACAGAUAACAGGCCAGGUCAGAUCGACAACCGGAGUAAGCUGCGGAACAUAGUUGAGCUGCGUUUGGCUGGUCUGGAUAUUACAGACGCUUCUUUGCGGUUGAUCAUAAGGCACAUGCCGCUGCUUUCCAAACUCAAUCUUAGUUACUGUAACCAUGUGACAGAUCAGUCGAUCAAUCUGUUGACUGCAGUAGGAACCACCACGCGAGAUUCCUUAACAGAAAUCAACUUAUCAGACUGCAAUAAGGUUACUGACCAGUGCCUGUCUUACUUUAAACGCUGCGGAAACAUCUGUCAGAUCGACUUGAGGUACUGCAAGCAAGUGACAAAGGAAGGCUGUGAGCAGUUCAUAGCGGAAAUGUCAGUAAGUGUUCAGUUCGGUCAGGUGGAAGAGAAACUUCUGCAAAAACUGAGUUAGUUAAAGGACAAGUGUGUAAAUAUUGGGGCAAGGGGUGGGAAAGGGACUAACAACCUGCAGGAUUUUAUUUUCAAUUGGAAACCUGGAAUAAAUCAAAGAUUGGAUUUUACAAGUCCUGUCAUGGAGAGAGCAACAUUUAAACUACCCACGUAAGAAUUUCAACCUGUGCCACUAAGUCAGUCUACCUGGGAUGUCCUGCACUGGCUCUUAUGCAAAUUCAUAAGGCGACUGUUAUUGAUGAUAAAUGCUCACACCCGGAAGAAGACUGAUCAUGAAGAAAUACUGUUAUUUAAAGUACCACAGCAUGUGCUUGGUAGUGUAAAUUUAAUUUCAGCUCAUUUCUUAAAAACAAAAAAAGUUGGUGUCAUUGAAGUGGACCAUGCACUGCAUUUCUGCCUUCUUAACACGUUUUGUUUUGUUACAUCUGACAUUAUGCAGAACUAUUUUUGUACAAAAUUGUUUAAAAAUUAUUUAUGCAAUGUUUGAAUGCAUUACCAGUGUUUUGGUUUCAAUUGCCAAUUUUUAUCUUUACUUAUGGUAGGAGAGAACUUAACCUAUACUUCGUAGACAAUAUCCAUCUCUACAAAAUGUGCCCAGGUCAGGAAAAGUAGGUUAAUACUUUCAACUUAAGCAUGUUUUAAUGGAAGUUUAUAUCCUGCUUUGUAUACUUCAGAAGUGACAUAAGCAUGUUGUGGAAAUAAGGUGUAAAUUAUAGUUGAAGUAAGACACUUUGCCAAGUUUUAUCUGUAUAGAAAUCACCUUUUUCUCAAAAUUUUAAAGAUUCCAAUUUCAGCUUUUGCACAUAGGAGGGUUUUACUCUGUAGCAUGAGCUCUUGUACUCAAUAUGAAAUUUAAUUUAUACAGUGAGUCAAGCAGUAGAAUAAAUGGUCAAGCGUAGUCUUUUUCUCUUUCUUUGAAGUGUGAGUUGAGUUCUCAUUUAAGGUUUAUGACAUGGUUAUUUCCCAAUUGUAAAAUUCUGCAUUCAUAAGUGCCAUUGUUGUAAGGUGGUGUUUUCGUAGACCUUCCUGAUGCAGUUUUACCUUUGUUGAAUUUGUAUAAACAAUUGUACAAAACCAGACAAAGCCUAUGAGGGUUUCUGUUCAAGCACAAGUUGAUGAAAAUCAUGUUUUUGUUUGCAGAGUCAAAAGUAUUAACAGUGCAGUUAUCUGAAGAAUGACUUUAUUAAAACUGAUUAUACCACUUUUUACACACCAGCUCUGUUCCCUGCGUGCUGCUAUCAUGUCUGCUGCCUUCAAAGACAGAAGGUCAACAUCAGAACCUGAGAUUCUGGGCAUCCAUGAUUAACACGGACCGUGAAAACUGGGAAUGGAAGAUUACAAGUGCCAGAAAGGACCACUGUGACCUAAACUUCAAUGAACUGAUUGGUUUGAAUGAUCACUAACCUCUAG